Long non-coding RNA from Anolis carolinensis (green anole), 1835 nucleotides. RefSeq lists it as uncharacterized. The transcript has 2 exons. NCBI's taxonomy places the organism in Eukaryota, Metazoa, Chordata, Lepidosauria, Squamata, Anolidae. The record is from RefSeq and is a predicted model, not a curated record.
GGCCAAUGAGAGGCGGCCAACGUCCGAGGGGCGGGGCUUAGCUUGGGCGGUAGGCGGAGUCUUGGGCGCUCCACGUGAGCCGAGCCACCCGUGGAAAGGGCGCCUUGGAGGAGCGACUUGAGAAACUGCAAGUCACUUCUAUUGUGAGAGAAUUGGCCAUCGGCAAGGAUUCUGUCCAGGGGACUACUGGAUGUUUGAUGUUUUACCAUCCUUGUGGGAGGCUUCUCUCAUGUCCCCACAUGGAGCCGGAGCUGACAGAGGAAGCUCAUCCGGACUCUCCUCGGGUUGGAUUCAAACCGGCAACCUUCAGGUCAGCAACCCAACCUUCAAGUCAUCAGUCCUGCCGGCACAAGGGUUUAACCCACUGCACCAGCGGGGGCUCACCAUGUAUACUCAACACAUAGAAGCUACAUCCUAUCUGUAAUAAAACUUCAAUAAGAAAUGUACCUGUAUGGUGAACUAAUACAAUUUAUUUAUUUACUUAUUUAUCAUAUCAGAAGUGAACUGAGGGUACAGUUGUAAUGUAUUUAAAAACAAAGAAAGUUGAAAACUUGGUAUUAUACUACAGUGGGGAAAAAGUAUUUAGUCAGAUACCAAUUGAAAAAUCAGACAGUGUGAUUUUCUGGAUGUGUUUUCUCAUGUUGUCUCUCAUAGUUGAGAUCUACCUAUGAUGUCAAUGACAGGCCUCUCAUCUUUUUAAGUGGGAAAACUUGUACAGUUAGUAUCUGACUAAAUACUUUUUCCUCCACUUGUUCAAAGAGUCGACUUCUAACAAAGUCAUGUUUUUCUUGACUGGUGGUUUCAAAAGGUUGUAUCCACAUAUUCAUGGAGAUUCAUAUUUGGCAAAAGGAUCAUGGGCCCAGAGACUGGGUGCAGUUAUUUCCUAAUAAAAGAUAUGUCAAUGCAUAAAAAAUAUAACAGAUCUUCAGAGGUGUUAGUUCAGCUGCCCAAAAGAAACAUCUACUCUCCCAUAAAAUACUUUGCUUUUAAAUCAUGCUCUCAAGAGACCAAAAAUAAGUAGUAUUUGUUAAAAUAACAUAGUUGAUUUAACUACAGACUUCAUGUAUUCAGCAUACAGGUACAUUUCUUAUUGGUUCAAAGUUUAAACAGUAUGUUCUCUAAAGACCUCCCCAGGGAACUUAGGCAAGCCCCCACACUGCAGCACUUUCAGAAGGAAUUAAAACAUGGCUUUUCUGUCAGGCCUUUGAUAACAUUUCAGGCAGUAGCUAAACUACUUGCCGAUUACUUUAGCACUUUAUAUCUACGUUUUGAUUGGUGACGCAGUUGGUUAAACCACUGAGCUGCUGAACUUGCAGACCAAAAGGUUGGUGGUUCGAAUAAGGGGAUCAGGGUGAGCUCCCGCUGUUUGGAAACAUGCAAAUGUGAGAUCAUUAGGUACCGCUCCAGCGGGAAGGUAAUGGCACUCCAUUCACUCACGCCCGCCCCAUGACCUUGGAGGUGUCUAUGGACAACACUGGCUCUUCAGCUUAGAAAUGGAGAUGAGCAUCAACCCCCAGAGUUGGACAUGACUAGACUUAAUGUCAGGGGAAAACCAUUACCUUUACCUUUUAUUAGUAUACACCCGGGACACCAAAUUGAUUGUAUGGAUCUUUUAAUUAAUUGUUAGAGCCACAUUUUAUUGAUUAUUUUGCCUAAACUGAGUUGUUUUUGCUAAUUUUAUAUUUGUGAUUUUAUGAAAUUGUGUUAUUGAUUUAAAUGUUAAUGUACUGCAUUUUAUGUGCUGUAUGGCACCAUUGUGUGCUAUUGUGUAAGCCGCCUCAAGUCCCUAUGGGAAAUGGUGGCAGGGUACAAAUAAAGCUUAUUUAUUAUUAUUA